Molecule: non-coding RNA, 25 nt
Filed under: Rattus norvegicus (Norway rat)
Lineage: Eukaryota; Metazoa; Chordata; Mammalia; Rodentia; Muridae
Source: RNAcentral
UUGCCUAUAGACAACGUGAAGGGCU